ACAGAUCUUUCAAAACAAUACAAACUAUUGUAUAACGGCAAAGAUCUCAGAAAAUAUGUCACAAACGAAAAACCGAUUACUUUUUUCUGUCAGAUGUAUAUGAAGGAUUCACAAAAUGGUUUUAUUAAAAAAUUGUUUACUACUGCUUGAAUUCAAAUAAAUAUUUUGUUUACUCAUUUGAAAAUACAUAUAAAUUAAGCUGUGUCAUACAAUUACAUAUUAUAUUAUAUCAUAUUAUUAUAAAUCGUAUUAUAAAUAUAUACUAUGCUCUAAUAAUUCAUAUUAAAAUAAAUUCAAUGUAUUUGACAAAAAA
Molecule: long non-coding RNA, 313 nt
Organism: Metopolophium dirhodum (rose-grain aphid)
Lineage: Eukaryota; Metazoa; Arthropoda; Insecta; Hemiptera; Aphididae
Exons: 3
Source: RefSeq, a predicted model, not a curated record